UACGUAGGGUCCGAGCGUUGUCCGGAAUUAUUGGGCGUAAAGGGCUCGUAGGCGGUUUGUCGCGUCGGGAGUGAAAACCAGGUGCUUAACACCUGGCCUGCUUUCGAUACUGGCAGACUAGAGGCAUUCAGGGGAGAACGGAAUUCCUGGUGUAGCGGUGAAAUGCGCAGAUAUCAGGAGGAACACCGGUGGCGAAGGCGGUUCUCUGGGAAUGUCCUGACGCUGAGGAGCGAAAGUGUGGGGAGCGAACAGG
Molecule: ribosomal RNA, 253 nt
Filed under: uncultured bacterium
Lineage: Bacteria
Description: partial 16S ribosomal RNA
Rfam family: Bacterial small subunit ribosomal RNA
Source: RNAcentral